GCCGGGGUAGCUCAAUCGGUAGAGCGUGUGGCUCUUAUUGGAGAGACAACCUCAAGGUCGCGGGUUCGGUUCGUCUAAUAUA
Non-coding RNA from Baudoinia panamericana UAMH 10762, 82 nucleotides. Lineage: Eukaryota; Fungi; Ascomycota; Dothideomycetes; Mycosphaerellales; Teratosphaeriaceae. The record is from the annotation of a RefSeq genome assembly.